This 169-nucleotide ribosomal RNA is filed under the name uncultured bacterium. RNAcentral describes it as "partial 23S ribosomal RNA". The stretch from base 41 to 169 matches the Rfam family "Bacterial large subunit ribosomal RNA", at positions 1 to 129 of the family's 2925-position model. The record is from RNAcentral.
AUUAUUAAGUUUUAAUUUUUUAGGCUUAAUAACUUAUAUAGGUUAAGUUAUUAAGGGCGCAUGGCGGAUGCCUUGGCACUAGAAGCCGAUGAAGGACGGCACUAACACCGAUAUGCUUCGGGGAGCUGUAAGUGAGCUUUGAUCCGGAGAUUUCCGAAUGGGGGAACCC